UGGGAUGUGGCUCAGUGGUAGAACACUUACCUGACAUGCACAACAUCCUGGGUUCAAUCCCCAGUAUUGCAA
This 72-nucleotide transfer RNA is filed under the name Heterocephalus glaber (naked mole-rat). It matches the Rfam family "tRNA". From Rfam's summary of the family: Transfer RNA (tRNA) molecules are approximately 80 nucleotides in length. Their secondary structure includes four short double-helical elements and three loops (D, anti-codon, and T loops). The record is from Rfam by way of RNAcentral. Lineage: Eukaryota; Metazoa; Chordata; Mammalia; Rodentia; Bathyergidae.